RNAcentral lists this unclassified non-coding RNA (252 nucleotides) under uncultured bacterium. Its description in RNAcentral is "contains 16S-23S intergenic spacer region". It matches the Rfam family "Bacterial small subunit ribosomal RNA", at positions 524 to 776 of the family's 1533-position model. The record is from RNAcentral.
UACAGGGGGGGCAGGCAUUAUUCAUACUUAAUCGGCGUAAAGGGUGUGUAGGUUGUUGAUCCAAUUAAAUGUGAAAUGCUAGGUUAAAAACUUAGAAAAGCACUUAAUAUUAGUCAACUAGAGUUAAAAUAAAGUUAGAGGAAUUUUUAGUGUAGAGGUCAAAUUCACAGAUAUUAAAAAGAAUACCAAAGGCGAAGGCAUCUAGCUAGAUUUAACUGACACUAAAACACGAAGGCAUGGGUAGCAAACGGG